AGUUCAUUAUCCAUCACAUGCUUUAAUAAUAGAUGAUUCCCUUGGUCCCUUGUGUUGAUUGUUUUGGUUGGCUCGGGAACAGCCAAUAAAAUAACAAUACUGGAUUGGUUGCUUCAAGUCAGCCAAUCAGGAAGUUUACAAAGAGAAAUAAAACACCAGCAGAGAGUGUCUUGAGACUUCUGCCUACUAAUACUCUGGUCUAAACGCUAAGACAACACAACACGACUGAGAGAGGAAGUGUCGAGGAUUUUCUUUUCUUAAAAACUGGGUGGAGUGUUUUGAAGAUGCAGAAAUGAUGUUAUCAAAAGAAAGCGAAGAAGAGGAUGAUGAUGAUGAUGAUAAAAAUGAAGAUUGUAAUAGCAGGGUUGGUGGAAUAAACAUCUGUUGCCAAGGAUAGAUGCCACACCCUGACACUACAAUUAAGAAAAAUUUAGUAGAGACACUGGACCGAAGAACUUGUGUAUGCCGUUUUGGAUUAUUUUCGUUGUCCAACCGCCUGCCUUGUAAACAAAAGAUCCUCAUGUCAGUACCAGUGCCUUUUAAUGUAUUUAUCAAUGGUUCAAGUCAAGUAUAGCUCUCUGGACUUACUUGUUUGCUGUUGGUUUACUUGUUUGUUUUCUGAUUCUUCAGAAAAAAACUUUGGUGGGUCAUUCCUUCAAUUUGAUAACUUCUAGACUUUUGGGAAAUGAAACAUACUUUUUUGUUGGUUAAAUCAUAAAAGGGACAUUUACAUUUAACUAGGACAGUUCAUUUAUCAUGUACAUUUUAAUCAGGCCAAAAAAAUUAGUUUUUUAACUAUGCAAAUUAGUUUUAAAAUUGAGCUUGUGGGGAAAAUGACUAUUCAUUAAAUAAAAUGAUCUAAAAUUAAUACAAUUUGACUUUCAGGAAGAUAAAGUAUAAGGAGCUCUUUGCCCUUUUAAGAUAAAACAAAAAUUAUAUCAGCUGACGUUUAAAUAUUAAUACCACAAUUUUAAACACUGGGGACUUUUAGGGACUUUAAAAUGAUUGAAUUGCAGGAAUGACCCUCAGUGGAAUGUCACGCACAUCAUUCUAAUGUGUUUGGUCCAUUUCAUUCUUCAGUUCUGAUAAACACUGGAUGUGUUUCAACAGUGCUGAUAAAUAUGUUGCUCAUUUAAGAGUGUACUGUUCCUACUGUACAAGUAAUAGAGUGAUGUAAUGUUUUUUAAACGUAUAUUCUGUCCGAAUAUAAACAGUAAUUCUUAUUACUUUAUAUCUGACAGUUUAUAGCCAUGUAGUGCUUGUAUAAUGAAUAAUUACUAUUAUUAUAAUAUAACAUUAUAUUAUAUUAUAUUCUGCUCAUUAUAGGGGUCUAGAUAUAAGGUCCAGCUCAAAGUGAAUCUCACCUGAUCUAAUAUCAGAUGCAUUCAUGUACUACUGCAUGUCAUCGCUUGGUUAUGUGGCAGGGGAUUUUGGCUAGUGAUAUGUCCCAGUGUAACAGUGAGGAUUGCAGAUUGAUUUGUGUUCCUCGUCUGCUGUCAAACUGUUUCUCUGUGACUGUAUUAUAAGCUAAAAGCCACAUGGUAACUCCCAUAAACGUUGUGUGAAAAAACAGUGUAACCACAUAAUAUUGCUUAGUAUUUCAGCAUUUGAUAACAUAAAAAUAUAUUGUACAGCCAGGCAGAUACAAUACAAUACAAUAAAUAAAGA
Molecule: long non-coding RNA, 1668 nt
Organism: Paramisgurnus dabryanus
Lineage: Eukaryota; Metazoa; Chordata; Actinopteri; Cypriniformes; Cobitidae
Source: RefSeq, a predicted model, not a curated record